This 1343-nucleotide ribosomal RNA is filed under the name uncultured bacterium. RNAcentral describes it as "16S ribosomal RNA". It matches the Rfam family "Bacterial small subunit ribosomal RNA", at positions 28 to 1378 of the family's 1533-position model. The record is from RNAcentral.
GACGAACGCUUGCGGCGUGCUUAACACAUGCAAGUCGAACGGAAAGGCCCUGCUUUUGUGGGGUGCUCGAGUGGCGAACGGGUGAGUAACACGUGAGUAACCUGCCCUUGACUUUGGGAUAACUUCAGGAAACUGGGGCUAAUACCGGAUAGGAGCUCCUGCUGCAUGGUGGGGGUUGGAAAGUUUCGGCGGUUGGGGAUGGACUCGCGGCUUAUCAGCUUGUUGGUGGGGUAGUGGCUUACCAAGGCUUUGACGGGUAGCCGGCCUGAGAGGGUGACCGGCCACAUUGGGACUGAGAUACGGCCCAGACUCCUACGGGAGGCAGCAGUGGGGAAUAUUGCACAAUGGGCGGAAGCCUGAUGCAGCAACGCCGCGUGCGGGAUGACGGCCUUCGGGUUGUAAACCGCUUUCGCCUGUGACGAAGCGUGAGUGACGGUAAUGGGUAAAGAAGCACCGGCUAACUACGUGCCAGCAGCCGCGGUGAUACGUAGGGUGCGAGCGUUGUCCGGAUUUAUUGGGCGUAAAGGGCUCGUAGGUGGUUGAUCGCGUCGGAAGUGUAAUCUUGGGGCUUAACCCUGAGCGUGCUUUCGAUACGGGUUGACUUGAGGAAGGUAGGGGAGAAUGGAAUUCCUGGUGGAGCGGUGGAAUGCGCAGAUAUCAGGAGGAACACCAGUGGCGAAGGCGGUUCUCUGGGCCUUUCCUGACGCUGAGGAGCGAAAGCGUGGGGAGCGAACAGGCUUAGAUACCCUGGUAGUCCACGCUGUAAACGGUGGGUACUAGGUGUGGGGUCCAUUCCACGGGUUCCGUGCCGUAGCUAACGCUUUAAGUACCCCGCCUGGGGAGUACGGCCGCAAGGCUAAAACUCAAAGGAAUUGACGGGGCCCCGCACAAGCGGCGGAGCAUGCGGAUUAAUUCGAUGCAACGCGUAGAACCUUACCUGGGUUUGACAUGGAUCGGGAGUGCUCAGAGAUGGGUGUGCCUCUUUUGGGGUCGGUUCACAGGUGGUGCAUGCCUGUCGUCAGCUCGUGUCGUGAGAUGUUGGGUUAAGUCCCGCAACGAGCGCAACCCUUGUUCACUGUUGCCAGCACGUUAUGGUGGGGACUCAGUGGAGACCGCCGGGGUCAACUCGGAGGAAGGUGGGGAUGACGUCAAGUCCUCAUGCCCCUUAUGUCCAGGGCUUCACGCAUGCUACAAUGGCUGGUACAGAGAGUGGCGAGCCUGUGAGGGUGAGCGAAUCUCGGGAAGCCGGUCUCAGUUCGGAUUGGGGUCUGCAACUCGACCUCAUGAAGUCGGAGUCGCUAGUAAUCGCAGAUCAGCAACGCAGCGGUGAAUACGUUCCCGGG